Long non-coding RNA from Xiphophorus couchianus (Monterrey platyfish), 393 nucleotides. RefSeq lists it as uncharacterized. The record is from RefSeq and is a predicted model, not a curated record. The transcript has 3 exons. Lineage: Eukaryota; Metazoa; Chordata; Actinopteri; Cyprinodontiformes; Poeciliidae.
UGCAGCAGACAAUUGCGAAGACAAAAAUGGCACCGGGGAGACAGACGAGCAUGAACAAAAAAUGGAAACAUGAUAAGAAUGAUGGAUGUUGGACGAGAGCUCCACUUGCGUAUCAGUGAGUGUGUAAAUAGCUGUCGGUUCGGUGGACAGGAUAAAACAGCGUUGGAACAAUGGCGCAGACAAGGACCAAAUCAUUUGCCGUGUUCCUGUUUGUCUGAAGCAUAAACAGACGGUUCCUGUGUAGAUGUGGAUGUUUGAAAAAUCAGAGAAGGGCGAUGGCCGCCUGUCUCACAGCAAAAAAGUUUCCUUCUACAAUCAAGCGACUUAUUGUCUAGUAAUGAUUUUAAAUAAACUUUUUCAUUUAAACGUUGUAGAUAAAUCCUAUAAACGCUU